GACGAACGCUGGCGGCGUGCUUAACACAUGCAAGUCGAACGGAAAGGCUCCAGCUUGCUGGAGUACUCGAGUGGCGAACGGGUGAGUAACACGUGGGUGAUCUGCCCUGCACUUCGGGAUAAGCCUGGGAAACUGGGUCUAAUACCGGAUAGGACCGCACUUUGGUGUGUGUGGUGGAAAGGUUUUUCUGGUGUGGGAUGAGCUCGCGGCCUAUCAGUUUGUUGGUGGGGUAAUGGCCUACCAAGACGGCGACGGGUAGCCGGCCUGAGAGGGUGGACGGUCACAUUGGGACUGAGAUACGGCCCAGACGCCUACGGGAGGAAGCAGUGGGGAAUAUUGCACAAUGGGGGAAACCCUGAUGCAGCGACGCCGCGUGGGGGAUGAAGGCCUUCGGGUUGUAAACUCCUUUCGCUAGGGACGAAGCUUUUUGUGACGGUACCUGGAGAAGAAGCACCGGCUAACUACGUG
This 468-nucleotide ribosomal RNA is filed under the name uncultured bacterium. Its description in RNAcentral is "partial 16S ribosomal RNA". It matches the Rfam family "Bacterial small subunit ribosomal RNA", at positions 28 to 507 of the family's 1533-position model. The record is from RNAcentral.